AGAGUUUGAUCCUGGCUCAGGAUGAACGCUGGCGGCGUGCUUAACACAUGCAAGUCGAACGAGGUCCAACCUUCGGGUGAAGACCUAGUGGCGAACGGGUGAGUAACACGUGGGUAACCUGCCCCUCUCUCUGGGAUAACCCCCGGAAACGGGAGCUAGUACCGGAUACUUCGAUCGGGUCGCAUGGCCUGACCGAGAAAGCUCCGGCGGAGAGGGAUGGACCCGCGGCCCAUUAGCUUGUUGGUGGGGUAAUGGCCCACCAAGGCGACGAUGGGUAGCCGAACUGAGAGGCUGAUCGGCCACACUGGGACUGAGACACGGCCCAGACUCCUACGGGAGGCAGCAGUGGGGAAUCUUGCGCAAUGGGCGAAAGCCUGACGCAGCAACGCCGCGUGCGGGAUGAAGGCUCUCGGGUCGUAAACCGCUUUCAGCAGGGACGAAAAUGACUGUACCUGCAGAAGAAGCCCCGGCUAAAUACGUGC
RNAcentral lists this ribosomal RNA (482 nucleotides) under uncultured bacterium. RNAcentral's name for it is "bacterial SSU rRNA". It matches the Rfam family "Bacterial small subunit ribosomal RNA", at positions 8 to 508 of the family's 1533-position model. The record is from RNAcentral.